This 253-nucleotide ribosomal RNA is filed under the name uncultured bacterium. RNAcentral's name for it is "partial 16S ribosomal RNA". It matches the Rfam family "Bacterial small subunit ribosomal RNA", at positions 524 to 776 of the family's 1533-position model. The record is from RNAcentral.
UACGUAGGGGGCGAGCGUUGUCCGGAAUCAUUGGGCGUAAAGCGCGUGUAGGCGGUUCGGUAAGUCUGCUGUGAAAGUCCAGGGCUCAACCCUGGGAUGCCGGUGGAUACUGCUGAACUAGAGUGCGGAAGAGGCGAGUGGAAUUCCCGGUGUAGUGGUGAAAUGCGUAGAGAUCGGGAGGAACACCUGUGGCGAAGGCGGCCGACUGGGCCGACCCUGACGCUGAGGCGCGAAGGCGUGGGGAGCGAACGGG